UGCAGGUACUCCACUAUUGAAAGCUGUGUGCUGAAUGCGACGAAGAUCGAAGUUAAGGUCGUACUGAGAGGUUACAGAUCCAAAGGAAAGUAGCACCAUGGAGGAAGAUAGUCUUCAGACAACUUAGUCCUAGGCCUACACACAACGAAUUUGACAGAACUUAGCAUCACGAGAUAUUGAUGAAAAGGAAACCGUUUGGGAGAGAAAUCAUGAGUUAACUGGAGUUACUACCAACGUGAAGAGAGAGUGAGUCGCGAAAAUAAAAUGCUGUGAAACUGCGCGUCAGAUUUUCAGAAAACAGCCGAAGGGUUAAACUACCAACACAAGAACUUGCAGAGGAUUAGCCAAAGGGUUAUACUACCACCAAGAUAAGAACUUGCGGGGAAACAGAUGAAGGGUUACACCACCAACUCCACCCAGACAAGAACUUGCAAAGAAGCAGACGAAGGGUUACAUUGCCUCCAAGAUAAGAACUCUCAAAUAAGCAACUAAAGGUAGAUUAUAAU
Molecule: long non-coding RNA, 506 nt
Organism: Macrobrachium nipponense
Lineage: Eukaryota; Metazoa; Arthropoda; Malacostraca; Decapoda; Palaemonidae
Exons: 4
Source: RefSeq, a predicted model, not a curated record